This 427-nucleotide ribosomal RNA is filed under the name uncultured bacterium. Its description in RNAcentral is "partial 16S ribosomal RNA". It matches the Rfam family "Bacterial small subunit ribosomal RNA", at positions 355 to 774 of the family's 1533-position model. The record is from RNAcentral.
UGGGGAAUAUUGCACAAUGGGCGCAAGCCUGAUGCAGCCAUGCCGCGUGUAUGAAGAAGGCCUUCGGGUUGUAAAGUACUUUCAGCGGGGAGGAAGGCGAUAAGGUUAAUAACCUUGUCGAUUGACGAUACCCGCAGAAGAAGCACCGGCUAACUCCGUGCCAGCAGCCGCGGUAAUACGGAGGGUGCAAGCGUUAAUCGGAAUUACUGGGCGUAAAGCGCACGCAGGCGGUCUGUCAAGUCGGAUGUGAAAUCCCCGGGCUCAACCUGGGAACUGCAUUCGAAACUGGCAGGCUAGAGUCUUGUAGAGGGGGGUAGAAUUCCAGGUGUAGCGGUGAAAUGCGUAGAGAUCUGGAGGAAUACCGGUGGCGAAGGCGGCCCCCUGGACAAAGACUGACGCUCAGGUGCGAAAGCGUGGGGAGCAAACA